CGUGAGGGAAAGUUGAAAAGAACUUUGAAGAGAGAGUUCAAGAGUACGUGAAACCGUUCAGGGGUAAACCUAAGAAACCCGAAAGUUCGAAUGGGGAGAUUCAUCGUCGAUGACUUUGGCUUUUUGGUGUUUGGUGAUGUUUGAGGACUUCGGUCGUUCGAACACGUCUUCACUGCGAUGUCUGCCGUUGUCGUCGUGCACUUCUCCCCUAGUAGGACGUCGCGACCCGUUGGGUGUCGGAUUACGGCCUGGGUGGUUGCCUGUUGCGUUGCGCGUAGCGUUUGUGACAGACCCCCAGUGUGUCUCUCCAGUCCGACUGCUCGACGGUAUUUUGAGAUAGUAUUCGGCCGCAAUUUAUUUGAAGCGAAAAUUGCGUCUUUGGCUCUUUGCAAGCUGGGUUAGUGUGCUGGGGUACGGACUUUGCGCCGACCUCGGGCCUGCUCAGUUGUUGGCAAACGAUGUCCUCAGACAGGCCGCUUACUUGUUUGCGACGCUUUUGCUUUGGGUAAUCUCAGGACCCGUCUUGAAACACGGACCAAGGAGUCUAACAUGUGCGCAAGUCAUUGGGAUAAUAAAACCUAAAGGCGAAAUGAAAGUAAAUGUCGACCUUGCGUUGGCAAAGGGAUGAUGGGAACCGCAUGCAUAAUGCUGCCCUCGAAAUCCCGGGGCGUCUCACUCUCAUUGCGAGAAGAGGCGCACCUAGAGCGUACACGUUGGGACCCGAAAGAUGGUGAACUAUGCCUGGUUAGGACAAAGUCAGGGGAAACCCUGAUGGAGGUCCGUAACGAUUCUGACGUGCAAAUCGAUCGUCGAAGCUGGGUAUAGGGGCGAAAGACUAAUCGAACCAUCUAGUAGCUGGUUCCCUCCGAAGUUUCCCUCAGGAUAGCUGGCACUCUGUGACUCGAACGACUUUUGAAUCUCACCUGGUAAAGCGAAUGAUUAGAGGCCUUGGGGUCGAAACGACCUCAACCUAUUCUCAAACUUUAAAUGGGUGAGAUCUCCGGU
RNAcentral lists this ribosomal RNA (1005 nucleotides) under Epipompilus sp. PO389. RNAcentral's name for it is "eukaryotic LSU rRNA". It matches the Rfam family "Eukaryotic large subunit ribosomal RNA", at positions 352 to 1086 of the family's 3401-position model. Lineage: Eukaryota; Metazoa; Arthropoda; Insecta; Hymenoptera; Pompilidae. The record is from RNAcentral.